RNAcentral lists this long non-coding RNA (254 nucleotides) under Mytilus galloprovincialis (Mediterranean mussel). Lineage: Eukaryota; Metazoa; Mollusca; Bivalvia; Mytilida; Mytilidae. The record is from RNAcentral.
CCACGUCGUCGUACAUUCUAACGGAGGAAAACAAGUGGUAUAUAAGUUUUAAGUCGGUACUGAAGCUAGUCGUCUGCUUUUGUUUGUUUUUGUUUUUUUUGUUUUGAACAUACAUGAGUAAAGAUAUAUUACUGCUUCAGCAUAGUUAUUAGGAUCUUUUUAAGACGGUUUUCGUAGAAUAAAUUCGGCCUUAAUUUAAAGCUGCCCCAUUUUUUUUUUAUAGCAAAGCCGACCAAUCUUAAACAUAACAUUUC